Molecule: ribosomal RNA, 1109 nt
Filed under: uncultured bacterium
Lineage: Bacteria
Description: bacterial SSU rRNA
Rfam family: Bacterial small subunit ribosomal RNA
Source: RNAcentral
AGGGAGGCGCCCCCUGGGAAUUGCAAUGGGAACCGUACCAGCAUCGUUACAUAAGGCCUUGGUGUAGCCAUGCAGGAAGAACGUCAUGUAUCUUGGUACUGACGUACUGCAGAAUAAGCACGCUAACUACGUGCAGCAGCCGCGUAAUACGUAGGGUGCAAGCGUAAUCGAAUACUGGGCGUAAAGCGUGCGCCAGGCGGUCGGUAAGAAAGAUGUGAAAUCCAGAGCUAACUUUGGAACUGCAUUUUUACUACCGAGCUAGAGUGUGUCAGAGGGGAGGUGGAAUUCCGCGUGUAGCAGUGAAAUGCGUAGAUAUGCGGAGGAGCACCGAUGGCGAAGGCAGCCUCCUGGGAUAACACUGACGCUCAUGCACGAAAGCGUGGGGAGCAAACAGGAUUAGAUACCUGGUAGUGCACGCCCUAAACGAUGUCAACUAGCUGUUGGGGCCUUCGGGCGUUAGUAGCGCAGCUAACGCGUGAAGUUGACCGCCUGGGGAGUACGGUCGCAAGAUUAAAACUCAAAGGAAUUGACGGGGACCCGCACAAGCGGUGGAUGAUGUGGAUUAAUUCGAUGCAACGCGAAAAACCUUACCUACCCUUGACAUGUCUGGAAGGCCGAAGAGAUUUGGCUGUGCUCGCAAGAGAACCGGAACACAGGUGCUGCAUGGCUGUCGUCAGCUCGUGUCGUGAGAUGUUGGGUUAAGUCCCGCAACGAGCGCAACCCUUGUCAUUAGUUGCUACGAAAGGGCACUCUAAUGAGACUGCCGGUGACAAACCGGAGGAAGGUGGGGAUGACGUCAAGUCCUCAUGGCCCUUAUGGGUAGGGCUUCACACGUCAUACAAUGGUCGGGACAGAGGGUCGCCAACCCGCGAGGGGGAGCCAAUCCCAGAAACCCGAUCGUAGUCCGGAUCGCAGUCUGCAACUCGACUGCGUGAAGUCGGAAUCGCUAGUAAUCGCGGAUCAGCAUGUCGCGGUGAAUACGUUCCCGGGUCUUGUACACACCGCCCGUCACACCAUGGGAGUGGGUUUUACCAGAAGUAGUUAGCCUAACCGCAAGGGGGGCGAUUACCACGGUAGGAUUCAUGACUGGGGUGAAGUCGUAACAAGGU